GAUGAACGCUAGCUACAGGCUUAACACAUGCAAGUCGAGGGGAAACGGCAUUUAGUGCUUGCACCGAAUGGACGUCGACCGGCGCACGGGUGAGUAACGCGUAUCCAACCUUCCCAUAACUAAGGAAUAACCUGCCGAAAGGCAGACUAAUACCUUAUGUAAUCCUUUGAUGGCAUCAGAUAAGGAUAAAAGAUUUAUCGGUUAUGGAUGGGGAUGCGUCUGAUUAGCUUGUUGGCGGGGUAACGGCCCACCAAGGCAACGAUCAGUAGGGGUUCUGAGAGGAAGGUCCCCCACAUUGGAACUGAGACACGGUCCAAACUCCUACGGGAGGCAGCAGUGAGGAAUAUUGGUCAAUGGACGGAAGUCUGAACCAGCCAAGUAGCGUGCAGGAAGACGGCCCUAUGGGUUGUAAACUGCUUUUGUAUGGGGAUAAAGUCAAUCACGUGUGAUUGUUUGCAGGUACCAUACGAAUAAGGACCGGCUAAUUCCGUGCCAGCAGCCGCGGUAAUACGGAAGGUUCGGGCGUUAUCCGGAUUUAUUGGGUUUAAAGGGAGCGUAGGCCGAAGAUUAAGUGUGUUGUGAAAUGUAGACGCUCAACGUCUGACUUGCAGCGCAUACUGGUUUCCUUGAGUACGCACAACGUUGGCGGAAUUCGUCGUGUAGCGGUGAAAUGCUUAGAUAUGACGAAGAACUCCGAUUGCGAAGGCAGCUGACGGGAGCGCAACUGGCGCUGAAGCUCGAAGGUGCGGGUAUCGAACAGG
This 761-nucleotide ribosomal RNA is filed under the name Prevotella melaninogenica. RNAcentral's name for it is "bacterial SSU rRNA". It matches the Rfam family "Bacterial small subunit ribosomal RNA", at positions 28 to 776 of the family's 1533-position model. Lineage: Bacteria; Pseudomonadati; Bacteroidota; Bacteroidia; Bacteroidales; Prevotellaceae. The record is from RNAcentral.